RNAcentral lists this ribosomal RNA (253 nucleotides) under uncultured bacterium. Its description in RNAcentral is "partial 16S ribosomal RNA". It matches the Rfam family "Bacterial small subunit ribosomal RNA", at positions 524 to 776 of the family's 1533-position model. The record is from RNAcentral.
GACGAGGGGUCCUAGCGUUGUUCGGAAUCACUGGGCGUAAAGCGUAUGUAGGCGGGUUUCUAAGUCAGGUGUGAAAUCCCAUGGCUCAACCAUGGAAUUGCAUUUGAAACUGGAAGUCUUGAGUGUGGGAGAGAUUGGUAGAAUACCUAGUGUAGUGGUGAAAUACGUAGAUAUUAGGUGGAAUACCGGAGGCGAAGGCGGCCAAUUGGCCCAACACUGACGCUGAGAUACGAAAGCGUGGGGAUCAAACAGG